CUGCAAACAAGAUCACUGGCCCAGCACGCUGUUGCUGAAGCAAGGGGGAACAUGUUUGCUAGAAUAACUAUCAUGACGGAAGCGAUGGGCCAUGUGCUCGUGUCUUGUGUCCCCAACUUCUUACUGAUGACAUGG
This 135-nucleotide small nucleolar RNA is filed under the name Leptobrachium leishanense (Leishan spiny toad). The record is from RNAcentral. Lineage: Eukaryota; Metazoa; Chordata; Amphibia; Anura; Megophryidae.